UACGGGGGGGGCAAGCGUUGUUCGGAAUUACUGGGCGUAAAGGGCUCGUAGGCGGCCAACUAAGUCCGACGUGAAAUCCCAAGGCUUAACCUUGGAACUGCGUCGGAUACUGGAUGGCUUGAAUUCGGGAGAGGGAUGCAGAAUUCCAGGUGUAGCGGUGAAAUGCGUAGAUAUCUGGAGGAAUACCGGUGGCGAAGGCGGCAUCCUGGACCGACAUUGACGCUGAGGAGCGAAAGCAUGGGGAGCGAACAGG
Molecule: ribosomal RNA, 253 nt
Filed under: uncultured bacterium
Lineage: Bacteria
Description: partial 16S ribosomal RNA
Rfam family: Bacterial small subunit ribosomal RNA
Source: RNAcentral